RNAcentral lists this ribosomal RNA (1233 nucleotides) under metagenome. RNAcentral describes it as "bacterial LSU rRNA". It matches the Rfam family "Bacterial large subunit ribosomal RNA", at positions 1564 to 2808 of the family's 2925-position model. The record is from RNAcentral.
UGAAUACGAGACGCUAAGGCGUCGAAGUAGUGUAUGUCAUACUUCCAAGAAAAGCUUGCACUGUCAUAGAUAAAAAACGCCUGUACCAUAACCGACACAGGUGGGUAGGUAGAGUAUACUAAGGGGCGCGAGAUAACUCUCUCUAAGGAACUCGGCAAAAUAACUCCGUAACUUCGGGAGAAGGAGUGCCUUAUCGUAAGGUUGCAAUAACAAGAUCCAAGCAACUGUUUAUCAAAAACACAGGUCUCCGCUAAGUCGUAAGACGAUGUAUGGGGGCUGACGCCUGCCCAGUGCCAGAAGGUUAAAGAAGUUGGUUAGCAAUUGCGAAGCUGAUAACUGAAGCCCUGGUGAACGGCGGCCGUAACUAUAACGGUCCUAAGGUAGCGAAAUUCCUUGUCGGGUAAGUUCCGACCCGCACGAAAGGCGUAAUGAUUUGGAUACUGUCUCGGAGAGGGGCUCGGUGAAAUAGACUUGUCUGUGAAGAUGCGGACUACCUGCACCAGGACAGAAAGACCCUAUGAAGCUUUACUGUAACUUGAAAUUGAAAUUCGACUUUAUUCGCGCAGUAUAGGUGGGAGGCGUUGAUUAUAAUCUUGUGGGAUUAUUGGAGCCAUCAGUGAGAUACCACUCUUGUAAUGUUAGAUUUCUAACUUUGAAUCAUUAUCUGGUCAAAGAACAGUUUCAGGCGGGCAGUUUGACUGGGGCGGUCGCCUCCUAAACGGUAACGGAGGCGUACAAAGGUUUCCUCUGAACGGUUAGAAAUCGUAUCUAGAGUGUAAAGGCAUAAGGAAGCUUGACUGUGAGACCUACAAGUCGAGCAGGGACGAAAGUCGGUCUUAGUGAUCUGACGGUACUGAGUGGAAAGGCCGUCACUCAACGGAUAAAAGUUACUCUAGGAUAACAGGCUGAUCUCCCCCAAGAGUUCACAUCGACGGGGAGGUUUGGCACCUCGAUGUCGGCUCAUCGCAUCCUGGGGCGGUAGUACGUCCCAAGGGUUGGGCUGUUCGCCCAUGAAAGCGGUACGCGAGCUGGGUUCAGAACGUCGUGAGACAGUUCGGUCCAUAUCCGGUGUAGGCGUUAGAAUAUUGAGAGGAGCCUUCUUUAGUACGAGAGGACCGAGAAGGACAUACCUCUGGUGUACCAGUUAUCGUGCCAACGGUAAACGCUGGGUAGCUAUGUAUGGAGUGGAUAACCGCUGAAAGCAUCUAAGUGGGAAGCCCACCUCAAGAUAAG